CAGCAGCCACGGUAAUACGUAGGGCGCAAGCGUUGUCCGGAAUUAUUGGGCGUAAAGAGCUCGUAGGCGGUCUGUCGCGUCUGGUGUGAAAUCCCGAGGCUCAACCUCGGGCUUGCAUCGGGUACGGGCAGACUAGAGUGCGGUAGGGGAGACUGGAAUUCCUGGUGUAGCGGUGGAAUGCGCAGAUAUCAGGAGGAACACCGAUGGCGAAGGCAGGUCUCUGGGCCGCAACUGACGCUGAGGAGCGAAAGCAUGGGGAGCGAACAGGAUUAGAUACCCCGGUAGUCCCUGUCUCUUAUAA
Molecule: ribosomal RNA, 301 nt
Filed under: uncultured bacterium
Lineage: Bacteria
Description: partial 16S ribosomal RNA
Rfam family: Bacterial small subunit ribosomal RNA
Source: RNAcentral